This 772-nucleotide ribosomal RNA is filed under the name uncultured Porphyrobacter sp. RNAcentral describes it as "bacterial SSU rRNA". It matches the Rfam family "Bacterial small subunit ribosomal RNA", at positions 86 to 892 of the family's 1533-position model. Lineage: Bacteria; Pseudomonadati; Pseudomonadota; Alphaproteobacteria; Sphingomonadales; Erythrobacteraceae. The record is from RNAcentral.
UCGGGUCUAGUGGCGCACGGGUGCGUAACGCGUGGGAACCUGCCCUUAGGUUCGGAAUAACUCAGAGAAAUUUGAGCUAAUACCGGAUAAUGUCUUCGGACCAAAGAUUUAUCGCCUUUGGAUGGGCCCGCGUUGGAUUAGCUAGUUGGUGGGGUAAAGGCCUAUCAAGGCGACGAUCCAUAGCCGGUCUGAGAGGAUGAUCAGCCACACUGGGACUGAGACACGGCCCAGACUCCUACGGGAGGCAGCAGUGGGGAAUAUUGGACAAUGGGCGAAAGCCUGAUCCAGCAAUGCCGCGUGAGUGAUGAAGGCCUUAGGGUUGUAAAGCUCUUUUACCAGGGAUGAUAAUGACAGUACCUGGAGAAUAAGCUCCGGCUAACUCCGUGCCAGCAGCCGCGGUAAUACGGAGGGAGCUAGCGUUGUUCGGAAUUACUGGGCGUAAAGCGCACGUAGGCGGCUUUUUAAGUCAGGGGUGAAAUCCCGGGGCUCAACCCCGGAACUGCCCUUGAAACUGGGAAGCUAGAAUCUUGGAGAGGCGAGUGGAAUUCCGAGUGUAGAGGUGAAAUUCGUAGAUAUUCGGAAGAACACCAGUGGCGAAGGCGACUCGCUGGACAAGUAUUGACGCUGAGGAGCGAAAGCGUGGGGAGCGAACAGGAUUAGAUACCCUGGUAGUCCACGCCGUAAACGGUGGGCGCUAGUUGUGCGAACCUUCCACGGUUUGUGCGACGCAGCUAACGCAUUAAGCGCCCCGCCUGGGGAGUACGAUCGCAAG